This 127-nucleotide ribosomal RNA is filed under the name Triticum aestivum (bread wheat). The record is from RNAcentral. Lineage: Eukaryota; Viridiplantae; Streptophyta; Magnoliopsida; Poales; Poaceae.
GGAUGCGAUCAUACCAGCACUAAAGCACCGGAUCCCAUCAGAACUCCGAAGUUAAGCGUGCUAGCGUGCUUGGGCGAGAGUAGUACUAGGAUGGGUGACCUCCUGGGAAGUCCUCGUGUUGCAUUCC